GUUCUUCAUUACCUUCCAGGAGUCUGACGACAGCCAGGCGACAAAGACCUGAGAAUCCCUGCCCUCCUGCAUUCACGUGAGAGGUGACAAUUCAGAAGGAAAUACAUGUUUAAGGUCAUAUCGAAUGACAUGCUGUAUUUCGCACAGCCACGACGGGAACUCUGGAGAGGACUCUUGAUAGCAUCUAAUGGGUGGAAAGGCCUUAACUGCAAAACUGAAGUUUCCCUGUGAAAGAAGAGAUUCUGCCUGAAGAUGACAGCCUCGACUCCUGCCUGAGUUUCCAGCCAGCCUGCCUGCCUGCCCUGCAGAUUUAAGCCUCAUAAUUUAAGCCUCACAAUCACGUGAACCCAUUCUUUGAAAUGUUUCCUUCGAUAUCCACACAUACACAUACACACUUAGAUGCUUCCUAGGGUUCUGUUUGGAGUUGGUAUUUCUGUUUAUCAUCCCCUCCCCCAGAAGCAGGGUCCUGCCCGUUCCCUUCACAGCCGUGUCUCAGAGCCUAGAACAGUGCCUGGCAGUGGGAGGGCCUCAGUCACUAAGGUCUAGUGGAUGGUUCUCCAUAAUUUUUGUUUGUUUAUUU
RNAcentral lists this long non-coding RNA (580 nucleotides) under Sus scrofa (pig). Its description in RNAcentral is "lncRNA (ENSSSCG00015070217.1)". The record is from RNAcentral. Lineage: Eukaryota; Metazoa; Chordata; Mammalia; Artiodactyla; Suidae.